UACGUAGGGUGCGAGCGUUAAUCGGAAUUACUGGGCGUAAAGCGUGCGCAGGCGGUUGGUUAAGUCUGAUGUGAAAGCCCCGGGCUCAACCUGGGAAUGGCAUUGGAAACUGGCUGGCUAGAGUGUGGCAGAGGGGGGUGGAAUUCCGCGUGUAGCAGUGAAAUGCGUAGAGAUCCGGAGGAACACCAGAGGCGAAGGCGGCCUGCUGGGCUGCACCUGACGCUGAGGUGCGAAAGCCAGGGGAGCGAACGGG
This 253-nucleotide ribosomal RNA is filed under the name uncultured bacterium. RNAcentral describes it as "partial 16S ribosomal RNA". It matches the Rfam family "Bacterial small subunit ribosomal RNA", at positions 524 to 776 of the family's 1533-position model. The record is from RNAcentral.